AUGGCGGAAUUGCAACUUUUGCUCUCUGUGCAUCUCAUGAUCGAGUGCACUUGGUCCUCUGCCAGCGAGCUGUACGCCAAGACUGUACCCAGCGAGCUGGUGUACACGCAGACCUCCAGCAGCUUCACCGACGUGCUGGUCUCCUCCAUCAGGAACGGCAAGUUCUUCACCAACGCCACGGCGAGGCCGCUCUGCAUCGUCACGCCCCGAGACGCCUCCCACGUCCAGGCCGCCGUGCUCUGCGGCCGCGGCCAGGGCGUGCGCCUACGCGUGCGCAGCGGCGGGCACGACUACGAGGGCCUGUCCUACCGUUCGGCGCGGCCUUCUUCCGAGGCGUUCGCGGUGGUCGACCUCGGCGCCAACCUCCGGGCCGUGCGCGUCAACCGGCUCCAGUCCACGGCCUGGGUCGACUCGGGCGCCACCAUCGGGGAGCUCUACUACGCCAUCGCCAAGAACGACUCCCGGCUCGCGUUCCCGGCCGGCGAGUGCCCGACCAUCGGCGUGGGCGGCCACUUGAGCGGCGGCGGCGUCGGCAUGAUGAUGCGCAAGCACGGCCUCUCCAGCGACAAGGUGCUCGACGCCACGCUGGUCAACGCCGACGGCGAGCUCCUGGACAGGGCGGCGGCGGCGGCGGCAACUUCGGCAUCGUGCUCUCGUGGAAGGUCCAGCUCGUGCAGAUGGCAGGACGUGGCGCCGUGUCUACCCAGCGACAUCACCCUAAGGGCGAUCGUGCGAGGGCGGCAGGCCAUGUUCCAGGCCCUGUACCUCGGCGGGUGCGGCUCGCUGGUGGCCAUGAUGGACGACCAGUUCCCGGAGCUGGGCAUGACGAGCGCCGACUGCCAGCCGAUGAGCUGGGCGCAGUCGGCGGCCACGCCGUUCCUGAGCUUCGGCAGGAACGGCACGCUGGAGGAGGCGCUCCUGAACAGGACCACCGGGCUGAGCAGAUCACAUCUGCUCACGCGCACGCCCACCGUCGUCCCUUUGCUGCUGCUGCCGCCGGUGACUCCAUCCCGUCCGCCACGUACACGGUCGACGGGAGAGCAGGUCUCCGAAACCACGCCCUUCUGGUUCCUGUACGGGGUGAGGGGCGAAUAG
RNAcentral lists this ribosomal RNA (1095 nucleotides) under Triticum aestivum (bread wheat). RNAcentral describes it as "partial small subunit ribosomal RNA". Lineage: Eukaryota; Viridiplantae; Streptophyta; Magnoliopsida; Poales; Poaceae. The record is from RNAcentral.